RNAcentral lists this long non-coding RNA (16749 nucleotides) under Nicotiana benthamiana. RNAcentral's name for it is "long non-coding RNA (NBEN_LNC006199)". The record is from RNAcentral. Lineage: Eukaryota; Viridiplantae; Streptophyta; Magnoliopsida; Solanales; Solanaceae.
CAUUUUAAGUGUUAAUUGCCAUUUUUCUUUAGUUUAUUUGGAUUCAUUAGAUUAGUUUUUGUUUAGUUUCCUUUUUUUAGUUUUGGAUCGUAUUGAACCUUUAAUUUGUUUGGAAUCUGAAUUGCCUUUUCUGCCUUGUCAUUUCUUCUGAAUGUGGAGUUAGUCCUGGGCCCAAAGAAAAGGGAUUAGCCCAAGUCUUCCUAGAAUUUGUUUGGUUUUGAGUCUUUGGGUCCAUUGACCCGUGAAUUUAGCUGGAAGGGUAAUUUUCAGGGCUCAAAGGGGUAGUUUGGGAAAAUUGGUUUAGGGAAUCUCUGAAAACUGAUUGAGGAAGAUUCUAGUAAUACUCGCCGAGGGUCGAUUGGAAGCAGCCUCUCUGCCCUUUCGGGCAGGGGUAAGGCUCGUCUACAUAUUACCCUCCCCAGACCCCACCUGGUGGGAGUAUGGUGGGAGUAUACUGGGUAGUUGUUGUUGUUGUGGAAUCUCUGAAAACUGAUUGAGGAAGAUUCUAGGAAGCUAGGGUGGGGACUAAAUUGAAGUUCUGAAUUUUACAUUAAUGGUACCUAAGCUAAAAUGAAAAUAUCAAAAAGUGCAGAGUGCAAAUCUGAGUUCUUUUAAAUUGCCCUAAUGCCUUGCUUAUAAAGGCACCUUACUUGAUAUUCAAAAAAAAAGAGAAUGAGAUAAAGAUUUUGCAAAAUUGAAACGGCUGAAGAACUUUGGAAGCACACUGAUUUCUCUGAAUUCCCUUUAUGAAUAAUUGCUCAAAAUUCUAACUACUUUGAAGUUGUGAUCCUUUUCAUUAGUAGAAUUUCUUGAAAACUCUAAUUUUGCACCUGCUUUGAAGAUGAUUAUUUUGGGAUUUAAAAGUUGGUUUUGAGCUGAGCUUGUGUAGAGUCCUGUUUCAGUUCGAUAUUAGGUUUGGGGUCUGCUGUGUAUCACUGUUAGUUCAAGUUGAGUUUUGCUGAUUAUUUCUUGAAUCUGGGUUAGGUGAAGUCCUGCUGCUUACUGUAUACUGAUUCUGCAUUUCUUUUCCUUUCAAUUUCCAGGUAUUUUCAGCACCACGGACAUCACUUAAGUGUAGUUGAAGUUUGAACUUGAAAUGUGAUUAAGAACUGAUGAUAUUUAUAUUGAAUCUUUUUCCUUUUCUUUCAAUCUCAUGUAUUCAUGUAUUCAUGUAAUAUUUAGCAUUAGAAAUGUUUUGACUAGUAUAUUGAGCAUGAGUUGAUUGUCAUAGGACGAAAUCGAAGUUAUAAGCAAUUUGAUUCUUCUGUUUAGCAUCAGUUUUGUUGAAAAUGGCUAUAGGGGAAAGAUGUGUCUUGGUUUGUAAUGGCAGUAACAUUUAGGUUGGUUUGAAUAGUUGGCUAGUAUUUGAAUGAUAUAUGAUUAGGUUGGAUCUUGCAUUAAUUUUUUGAUAGUAUAUUGAAAGGUUUUGUUUAAGGCUUAAAGACCAACAUAUUUGUUUAUGAUUUGGUAUAUGAAUUUGAAUAGGACGCAAGGCCAAAUAAUGUUGCUUUGUAUUGAAUUCAGAAACAGAUUUUCCUUAGUUGUGUGAUUUAUAUCUUAUAGCCCUCCAAAGCUUAUUAGUUCAUAUGAAAAUUGUCAGAUAUUUGUGCUUAUUUAAUAGGUUUCAAAGUUAAAAUUAAGUGUUUUAAGUGUUCCACCUGAGGUGUUCCGAGUUUUCAUGCAUUUUGUAUUUCAAUUAGUUUAGGUUGCUCUUGCUUAAAUCAAUGAAUGCCGGAUAAUUCUAAAUUGGAUCAUGUGGAGAUUUGUUUUAAAAAACCAAAGUUUUUGGAGCCUAGGAUGGUUUGGCUCCUCAGAGAUUCGAUCUCUGGUCAAUACGCACGGAUGUCAAUUACUUUGUUAGAUCUGGGCUCAAUUUGGUCCUAGAGCCUUGAAAUCAUUUUAGGAUAGAAAAAUGGUAGGCCUUACUACAUGCGUUUUUUCUUGCUUCGAAAUAGUGCUUUCUCGUUGAUGGCAGCUGCUGGCCCAAAUUCGUUCUAAUGAUUAUCCCUGUUCCCUAUCACUGCAAAUCGGUCAAGCUUAGUUGCAUGAAAUUGAUUUGAGAUUGUCUUAUGCCCUUUAAUCAAUUAGCCAAACCCUUUAGUUAGUGGAGGUGAGUCAUAUUAGAUAACACAAAUAGCUUAUGGCCCCCUAAAGUUUAGUUUGAAUUCCCUUUAAAAAUUGGAAUCGAGUGUGCUGUACCAAAUAAAAUCUCAAAAUGCAUGGCCCUUAUUUAAUUAAUAUUUUUAUUCUUAGAAAUCGAGGCGCGCCAUUUAGCGAAUUUUCCAUGGCCCUUGCAAAUUUGAAACUACGUAGUUGCUUUAAGUGCGUAAUUUAAAAUUACCUUCCUAAACUCGGUUGUGCAUUUCAUGUGACCCAAAUCUAAAUCUUAACAACGUUAAAUAAAAUAUGUCUCGGACUGUGGGUGCAUUUCAUGUGACGCGGUCAAAUGAUAUAUUUUAGAUGACGUUGAAAUAUUUCUUAAAAUAAUAAAAAGCGGUUUUAAAGUAAAUAUGCACAUAGGCUUUUAAGUGUUUUGAAAUAAGAUAAUUAGGCCAAUAAUAACAGUUGAGUGACCGUGCUAGAACCACGGACCUGGGAAUAACUAACACCUUCUCCCGGGGUAAUAUAAUUCCUUACCCGGAUUUCUAUGUUCGUAGAUUGUAAAACAGAGCAACCUUUCCUUGAUUCGAGAUUUGAACCAGUGAGUUGGGACACCAUAAAUUAUUCUAGUGGCGACUUGAAUUUUUUUAAAAUAAAUAAUCUCAUUUCGAUUGUCACUUUAAAUUGGAAAAACUCCUUUAUACCUACCCUUCCGGAGUGUAGAUAACAAAAUGAGGCGUGACAGCUCUGGCGACUCUGCUGGGGAUUAAACCUAGAAUCUCUGGUUCAGGAUUCAGAAUUCGAGCUUAUAUGAACGGUUACAUUGGCUUUAUUUAUUAUCUGGUUUUAUUCACAUGUUUUGGCUUAAUGUGCUAAGUGUUGCCCCUACCGCUAUGAUAUUCUGUGAACUGUAUAUAAACUGCUGUGAAACCUUUCUUCUCCUCGAAUCUUUUAAAUCAUUUGAGAAGGGUGCACUUCGUGUGACUUCUCGUCUUAUACCAAAUUUUAUAACGAGGUUCAGACAAGUUGCAAAGCCUGUGAAGCUUCUGUAUUCCCGGUACGCUACCCCCUCGGCUUGAGCUAUCCGCUCGGGUAAGCCAGGUCUACAACAAUUAACCCAAGUUUUAAACCUAGUAUAACAAAACCUCAUGCCAGAUCCCUAGUAGGAACAUUUGUUUGCAUCACGUGCAUUUGACUUUGGAGGCUCAACACAAGGGUUGGGCCUGUCAUGGUGUACCUGAAAUGAAAAAGACCUUCCUGAUGCAUCCUACUUGCUACUUGUGCAUUUAUUUGCUUCGGAUUUGCAUGUUGACCGGCUUAUGAAUAAUAGGAGAAAAUUGGGGAAACAAAAUAGGAAUAUGAGGGCUAAGAGAAAUUGUUACCUGUUUUGAAAAACAAAUGUCCAAAAGGUACUGAAACUCUGCCGAAAUUUUUUUCUUUCCAAAAAUAGAUAGUUUUGUAUUUAUUUUUGUCAAAUCUACUCGAACUACGCCAGUUUGAUUCUCAGUGGAUGUGGAAUACGUAGGAAACCCCCAUCAGGCCCAAAGUUUCUUUUGCAAAAUAGCCCAAAAAGAACAAAAAAUCUUAUUUUUACUGCAAGGUGAUACCAUUCUUGUCUAAAAUGAAUGCCCAAUAGGGCACCGGAAGGCCAUUUUUGCAAGAACAACCACCUUUGAUCAUUUUUCAAGGUCUUAGACAGUUAGCAAACACAACCUUAAAAUCUUAUUCCUCAAAGUUCUGAAAGGCCAUAUUGGCAAAGCCGGAUAUAUUUAUGAAAAUUUUGAAAACAUAGUGAUAACUUUUUCUUGACUCAAAAUGAGUCAUACUUUUUCUCUUAAUUAAAAUCACCCUAAUAAACAUGCAGGAUGAGCACAGAUGAAAAUGAACCCUUCGCGGCUCUUAAAGAGAUCCACUUACAACUUCAUAUGUGGUGGAACGAUUUAGGGAAAGACAGUAGAGAAAGCGUGGUCAAGGUUUUGGGUGGCCUUAUCGGACUUUGGAACAUCAAGCCAAGAUUGGACGUGAUUAAAGUCCUGAUACCUUUUUGGGGUCCAACUCGCAAUGUGUUUCACUUUUUUGACUUUGAGCUCACACCCACGCUAGAAGAAAUUGUGGGUUACGCCGGCCUUAAUGAAAACCUUAGAAGUCUUUACCCUGUUUCACCAAUACCGGUAUCUCCACACAAAUUUCUCAACAUGUUGAGUAUUAGCCGGGACGUUCAGGAUGGGAGUUUGUCUGAAGGGUAUUACACUUUCCAGUUCUUAUAUCAACACUGUGGUAACCCCCAUCGUUUUGAAGCACCGAACAUUGGUUUGACUCAUGCCAGAAAUAAAGAUAAGUGGGAGUCAAGGCGAGGUUUGGUUUUGAUACUAGCAUUCUUGGACAUUGUAAUCUGUCCCCGAAAGACGGUAACAUAGAGUUGGGCCUCGUAGGAAUGGUUGACGUGGCAAUCAAAAGAGCUAACGACACUUUGGUUCCCCUGAUUUUAUCUGUAUUGAGCUUUAACCAUUUGUCGAGAAGGGGAAAAUUCUUCCAAGGCUGCAACUUACUACUACAAUUCUGGAUCCAAGAGCAUCUCUUCCACUGUCCCGGGUAUAUGAACUACGGUAUGAGCGUUUUAAGUUCCAUCGAAGAAUUUGAGAGCCGAGUGGUGGGUAUUGAAUUUUUCGAGGGUACUAAUGCUUGGUUUGCAUAAUUAAGUUCUUUAAUUUCUGAUAGAAUUGUGUGGAUGUUUGGAUGGCGCUCUGUCACUGAAGCCGUAUACAUUUUAGCCUAAGUUUGUUAUCUUCUCCUUAUGGGCAUCCGAAUCAUCCAGCCGUAUGCUCCUCGCAGGGUUUUGUGCCAGCUGGGCAGAUUUCAAAUGAUUCCUCAUGAAAAAGAUUUGAGUAGACAUGUCGUAGAAUUGAGCCCAAAAGCCAUAUUUUUUGGAAGGGAGAAUUUGCCAGUGUGGAACGAAUACAGAUUUCUCAAACCUAAGACUAUGAUGCCGGAUCUGGCUAGAGGUGAGAUAGACCCCAAGUACAAUAUUUGGGUCGGUCAAAGGUUUCAGGUUCCUGAGAGACCUGCUAAGAGAGCUCAUGUUCAACAAUUCACUAAUGACUCACAGGAGCAGUGGGGCUGGUUGGCGAACGAAGAAAGUUACAGGGCCAAAAUAAGCAAAUUAGAAGGAUAGAUUAGGGACCUCAAAUUUGGUAAGAGUAUCCAAGUUGCCGCAGAUGAAGGGGAAAAGAGAAAAGCUAACUUAGGAAAACGAAUCCCUUAAAACUCAAAUCUAAAAAAUGAGAAUAGCAGCAGAAACCCAAAAAGGAGCCAUGCGGAUGAAAGGUUUAUAAGUAGACUGAGAAAGAAGGUACUCGAGUGUCAGGAUGACCUAGAAAAGUUUGAGGCCAGUCUAGCAAAUGUUUCGGGCCCAAUUGGCAAAGAAUGCCGAAGGGCUGGCACAAUUUGUGCAACUAAUGAAAAGAAAAUAUUAGAGGACAAUCACCAAUAUGAGGAGAAAGAUAAAUACCCUUGAAAAUGAGGUGGACAAACUGGCUAGGAACUUCAAAGCCGAUAGGGAACAUUGUUAUGCUUUAAUGACCCAGAUGGAAGAAGAUAUGCAACAAUUGCGAAAUCAAAGCCAGCGUGACAUUCAGGUGCUAGAAGCCCGGAAUAAGCAAAUCAGACGCUUGCUUCAGGAAAAUGGUAUUGUUCGAGAGAGGGUUAGAGCCAUUGCCGACUAUAUCAUCGCAAAGUGCCAAGCAUGUGAGGACAUGCCUGGAACUAAUUUCUUUGCUGCAGUGAUGACAUUUGUCCUCCAGAUAACGGAAUAUCUCUACCAUCUCCAAAGGGAUUUGGCGCGUAGGCCCGUGGCGACACCAAAUGAUGUCCCGCGAGCCCCAGGAGUAGUUGAGACAUUGAUGUAUUCAUGAUUUUCGUUGGGGUCUGUUAGUCGUUUUUCGAGUCUCUAUUUUCAUCUUUAUGUUCAAGUUUGUUAGUUUGUUUUUGAGUGUGAGUUUUCAUCUUUCUAUUGGAGUCUGUUAGUUCCCCUUUUCAAGUCUGUUAGUUUUUAUGAUAGAUUAAGUCGUUGUAAUCAAAACAUUUUUGUUUUCUGAAAAAUUUAAGAAUUCCAAAAUAUUUUAUUAUUUAAUUUUGCACUUAUCCCACAGAACUACGCUUGGUCUAAUUCAUGGGGAGUCAUGAUACGUAGGCAAUCUCCAUAGGAUGUGAUCAUAAUAAAAAAAUAGAGAGAAAGAAAAAGAGAUAAAAAGGGAAAAAUAAGAGAGAGAAAGAAGAGAAAAAGAGAGUUAAAACAAGAAACUGUGAGAAGGAAACAAUGGCAAAACAAGAGAGAGAAAUGAGAGAAUAAAGAACAACAAGAAAUCAAGCAGAGAAAAAGAGAUAAGGAGAAGUUGCAAAUAGAAAUUAGGGAAAGCCAGGAUAAUGGAAGCAACCGAUGAAAUACAUGAUAGAAAUGAUUAACUGCUUAGGCGCAUUACAUUCCCAAAUGUGCGGUUUCCCAUCUAUUAAGAUCUAAUCGCUAACAAGUUUAUUGUUGAUAAUUAGUACAGGAAAGUGGUUAGUUUGGAAUUCUGGUAACUCACCCAUACAACACCUGGUCCAAAAACAAGUUUAUCAUGGCCAACCAAGAACUUGAUGAAAGCGUUUUCCAUCCAUUGAGAGAGGGGAAGGACUUAGACGUUAUCCUAAAGAAGAGUUGUAUAAGCUGAAACAACAGAUAACUGAAAUGUACCAGGCAAGGGUAAAUGGGCACCCACCACCACCUUACCCGUAACCCCGUUUUUAUCCCACCAUUGGCCCAGUCCCAGGAUCCUCCAACCACUGAUUCAUCUCUAGGCUUUCCCAUUCAUCACGACUACCAUGGCACCACGUCCCAAACACCACAAGCUCCUCCGCCUAAACCAGUUCCAUACCCUCUUGUUUUCGUGACACCCCCACCCGCUACACUAUACUGAUCUUCCAUCGAGAUUUUAUUCUAGGUUCCACAAUAGCCAAUAUUACCCCUCGGAUCCCACUUUCAAGGCUCUAGAACCUUACUUUUAUACUCCUAACUUCGAUCCCCAUGUGGAAACUAAGAAACCAUCUAAAAAUCCUGAACAAGAGAAGAUGUUCAGAAAGGUCAAAAGCCUGGAACAUUCAUUCAGGAAUGUGCAGGGUUUGGGAGGUCAGGUCAGCGUUGCUUACAAGGAUCUAUGUUUGUUCCCAGAUGUUCAAUUGCCGGCGGGGUUUUUGAUGCCCAAGUUGUUUUUGUAUGAUGGACAUACGGACCUGGUGGCACACUUGAGGGGUGUCUGUAGUAAAAUGAGGGGAGCUAGCGGGAAAGACGAGUUACUAAUGGUGUAUUUCGGUCAAAGUUUAAGUAGUUAGGAACUGGAGUGGUACACUUGGCAGGAUCACGGCAGGUGGUAUACAUGGGAUGAUCUAGCCUAGGCAUUCACUUGUCAUUUCCAGUAUAACCUCAAAAUUAAUUUGGAUUGUCUAUCUCUGACAAAGUUUGAGAAAAGCAUAAUGAAAGCUUCAGGGAGUACGGUUUUUGGUGGAGAGAACAUGCAGCAAGGGUUGACCCUCCAAUGAAAGAAAGCGAAAUGGUAGACUAUUUUCUACAAGCCUUAGAACCUACUUAAUGCGGCCAUCUAGUAUCAACUAUAGGCAAGUCCUUCAGUGAAGGAGUAGAGAUGCGCGGUAUGGUGGAAGAACGGCUUAAGUAAAAAAAAAUCAUGAGGUAUUCGGCUAUUAAGGCAACUACCCAGUCCGUUUAGAGCGGUACUGGGGGAGUAAUUAGAAAGAAGAAGAAAGAGGAGGUAGCAACGAUCUAUUCAAGAGCUUGGUUCGGACCUAGAGGCUCAUCUCACCACUAUAAUCAACCUUGACCCUACUACCAGAUCUAUCCCCACAGCCCUUAUAAUCCACCCCAACAUUACUACCCACCACCAGACCCCCAUUUUUCUGUCCACUACUCCCAAACAUACACCCAAACGCCUGCCCAUGCACAAUGGCAUAUGCUAACCCCAGAAAAUACGUACCCACCCUCGCGAGCCUACCGAAACCCUCCUGGACCAGGUUUCUGGCCAGUCAAGCAUUCAAGAAUGAGAGGUUGUAGAAGAAAAAAACAUUCACUCCAUUGGGAGAAUCGUACACUAGUUUGUUCCACAGGCUAAGGCAAUUGGAUAUGUUGAGACCGUUCGAGUCAAAAUUUCCAAUCCUCCUGCGAAGAAUCUUGAUUAUCCUAUAAGCUGUGAAUAUUGUUCUGGUACUCUAGGUCAUGAUACAGAAAAAUGCUGGCACUUGAAAAAUUCUAUCCAGGAGCUCAUUGAUAUUAAUUGAAUUGAAGUCCAAGCUCUGGAGGUACCCAAAAUCUACCAGAACCCACUGCCAACCCAUCAAGAGAGUAAUAUGAUCGAGAUAGUGCAUAAAGGAGGGGAGCCAAGGAAGCCUUCACAGACCGUCAUGAUGAUUUGGUCCAGUGAAGUCAAGUCAACAAGUGAGAGAUCGGUAAUCAAAUUGAACAAGAAAAAUAGUGAACCGUCUGCGAUAGUCAUGGAUGGAUCCUCAAGUGAUGUCACAUUAAUAUAAGAAAGGUUAAAAGUAGUUGUGCCAGGAGUGGAAAACAAGCCUAUCGUAAUUAUGGAAGGUGCUUGCGCAGAUCCUGUCAUUAUCAAGCUUGUAACCCAGUUAUCGAUAGUCAACAUCAAGGCUAUCCCGUGGAAUUAUGAACGGAUGACAGUGACUUACAAAGGGAAGGAAAUGAAUGAAUAGGUCAAUGAGGCCUAUGGACCAACUCGCUCAAGGAGAUGUUUUGCCCUGGAAGAGUUUAGAAAAGCUAAAACCUCCAACGAUAAUAAGUUCUAGUGAAUAAAGAUGUGACUGAAGAAGAGGCUAAAGAGUAUUUGAGAAAGAUGAAGGUCCAAGACUAUUCCAUCAUGGAGCAUUUCAACGCCUGCUCAGAUUUUACUAUUGCCAUUAUUAAUCCACUCAGACGAGCAUCAUCAGGCCUUAAUGAAAAUCCUGAACAAGGCUCACGUUCUUGACGAAAUAUCAGUGAACAGUUAGUAAACAUAGCCAACAAGAUAUUCGAGGUGAACAGAGUCACUUUUUCUGACAAAGAGUUGUCCGUGGAGGGUACUGAGUGGAACAGGGCCCUGUAUCUUACGGUGAAAUGUGAAGAUUCUAUGGUCACCUAGGUAUUGGUUGAUAAUGGUUCCAGUGCAAAUAUUUGCGCUCUCUCUACUCUGAACAAGUAGAAAGUAGACGAUGAAAAAAUUCACAAGAACAAUAUCUGCGUUCGGGGGUUUUACUGUGGAGGGAAAGAUUCAGCCGGUGAUAUAGUGCUUAUGUUGACAAUAGGACCAGUUGAAUUCACCAUGGAGUUCUAAAGGUAUUGAGGUAUUGAGUUAGACAUGUGAAAGAUCAAAGCUAUCCAAGAGUUGCCACCCCUAAGGAACAAAACUCAGGUGAUGAGUCUGUUAGGGAGGUUGAACUACAUCAACAUGUUUAUUACCUAGUUCUUGACAAUUUGUGAGCCUAUCUUCAAGCUGUUGAAGAAGGAUGUUAUAGUCAAAUGCACAGAUGAGUGUCAAUAGGAAUUCAAUAAGAUAAAGAGGUACUUGUCAAAUCCACCUGUGUUGGUCCUGCCAGAACUGGGGAGACCUCUGAUUUUCUAUUUAACGGUCUUGGACAAUUCAUUUGGAUGUGUAUUGGGUCAGCAUGACAUCACCGGCAGGAAGGAGCAGGCCAUCUAUUAUCUCAGCAAGAAGUUCACAUCUUAUGAGGUUAAGUACCCUUACCUCGAAAGGACAUGUUGUGCCCUAACUUGGGUGGCCUAGAAGUUGAAGAAAUAUUUAUCAUCUUACACUACUUACCUCAUUUCUCGUUUGGAUCUGUUAAAGUGUAUCUUUCCGAAGCCUAUGACCAUAGGGAAGCUCGCAAAGUGAAAAAUCUUGCUCAUAGAAUUUGACAUCUUCUAUGUGACUCGGACUGUGAUGAAAGCUCAAGCGUUGGCCGAUCAUUUGGCUAAGAACCCGAUAGAUGAAGAAUAUGAACCUUUAAAGACUUACUUUCCUAACAAAGAGGUGAUGCACAUCAAUAAGUUGGAAAAGGUUGAAGAGCCAGGUUGGAAACUUUUCUUUGAUGGAGUCGCUAACAUGAAAGGCGUUGGGAUAGGAGCUUUAUUUACUUCGGAAACAGGGCAUCACUACCCUGUUACGACUCAGCUCCAUUUCUACUGUACUAACAACAUGGCUGAGUACGAGGCAAGCAUUUUGGGUUUGAGGUUAGCUGCAGACACGGGUGUCCAUAAAGUCUUGGUCUAGGGAGAUUGGACCUUUUACUGCACCAGAUUCAAGGAGAAUGGGAAAUACAGGAGUUAAAACUCAUACAGUAUCGACAGUGUUUGCAUGAUCUUUAUCAACGGUUUUGAUUAGUAGAGUUCAAUUAUAUUCUGAGGAUCCAUAAUAAGGUUGCCAAUGCUUUGGCUACUCUGGCAUCAAUGUUACAUCAUCUAGAUAAGGCUUAUGUUGACCCUUUGCAUAUUCAGGUCCACGAUCAGCAUGCUUACUGUAACAUGGUGGAAGAAGAACGUGAUGGCGAGCCGUGCUUCCACGAUAUCAAGGAGUAUAUUAGGAUGGAGGUAUAUCCAGCACAAGCAACAAGUGAUCAAAAAAGAACAAUUCGACGAUUGGCAAGUGGGUUUUUCUUCAGUCGAGGAGUUUUGUAGAAAAGGACUCUAGAUCUUGGAUUGUUAAGAGGCAUAGAUGCUAGACGUGCCACGACUAUCAUGACCAAAGUAUAUGCUGGAGUCUGCGGGCUCCAUAUGAGUGGGUACAUUCAGGCAAAGAAGAUUCUACGAGCAGGUUAUUAUUGGCUCACUAUGGAGCGAGAUUGUAUCAGUUUUGCACGCAAGUGUCAUCAAUGUCAAGUGCAUAGAGAUUUGAUUCAUUCUCCGCCGUCUAAAUUGCAUACAAUGUCUGCACCAUGACCCUUUGUUGCUUGUAGCAUGGAUGCCAUUGGACCAAUUAAGCUAGCAACAUCUAAUGGGCACAAGUUCAUUCUAGUGGCCAUUGAUUAUUUCACCAAGUGGGUUGAAGCUAAAACUUUCAAGUCUUUGACCAAGAAAGUGGUGGUAGAUUUUGUGCACUCAAAUAUCAUUUGUCCGUUUGAAAAUUCCAGAGAUGAUCAUCACAGAUAAUGGUGCAAAUAUCAAAAAUCAUCUGAUGAAAGAGGUAUGUCAACAGCUUAAGAUUACACAUUGCAGUUCUAUCCAGUAUCUCCCCAAUGUGAAUGAGUUAGUCGAGGUAGCCAAUAAGAACAUAAAGAAGAUACUUCGGGAAAUGGUGGAAGGUUCGAGGAAAUGACAUGAAAAGUUGAUCUUUGCAUUGUUGGGUUAUUGCACUACUGUUCGCACUUAAGUAUGGGCAACUCCUUAUUUGUUGGUAUAUGGCACUGAAGCAGUGAUACUUAUGGAAGUUGAAAUCCUAUCCCUUCGGAUUGUCGCCGAAGCCGAAAUUGAUGAUGAUGAAUGGGUCAAAACCUGCUUGGAGCAAUUGAGCUUGACCGAUAAUAAUCAAUUGGCAGCAGUAUGUCAUGGUCAGUUGUAUCAGCAGAUAAUGGCAAGAGCAUAUAAUAAGAAGGUGUGUCCACGGAAGUUUGAAGUGGGUAUGCAAGUAUUGAAACAUAUCCUUCCAUAUCAUGCAGAAGCAAAAGGCAAGUUCGCCCCAAAUUGGCAAGGGCCAUUCAUCAUAACAAGAGUUUUGUCCAAUAGUGCUUUGUAUUUAAAAUAUAUAGAAGGCAAAUGUGUAUAAAUGGCUAUCAAUUCUGAUGCAGUCAAAAGAUAUUAUGUACAAUUUCUUUUGUUAAAUUGUGUUUGUUUGUACUUGGCAUGUUUUGAAGAUUGGAAUGACGAAGGCAUUUUGUUUUGCUAUCUAAACAGUUUAUCCUUUGUUACUCCUUUUGAGCCUAUUUUAUUUCCUAUCAUACCCAUCUUUUGGAAUCAGUAGUAAAGUUCAGAAAUGCAAGCGCGAAAGAUAAGUAAAGGAAAAAAGAGAAAAGAAAAAAAAUAAGAAAAAAAACGAACAAAAAGGAAAAAGAAAAAUACAACAACAAAAAGAGAAAGAGGAAAAAGAAAUGAGAGAAAGAAAGGUAAGAGAAAAGAGAAAAUCACAAGAACAAAGCAAUUCUUAUACAUGAACUAUGUUCGACCUGAUACCUUUUAAAGAUACGUAGGUUAAACACUUUAUCCUUUGUUACCCCUUUUAGCCUUAUUUAUUAAUUUUUUUGUACCCCUCUUUUGGAAUCAGCAGUAAAGUUAAGAAGUGCAAGCGCAAAAGAUAAGUAAAGGAAAAGAGAGAAAAUAAAAAAAAAAGACAAAAAAAAAAGAAAAAAACAAAAAGGAAAAAUAAAAAACAACAACAAAAAAAAACAAAAAGAGAAAAAGGAAGAAGAAAAGAGAGAAAGAAAAGAAAGAGAAACGAUAAAAUCACUACAACAAAGCAAUUCCUAUGACAUGAACUACGUUCAACCUGAUUCCUUUUAAGGAUACAUAGGCAGCCUCACGAUUUGGUCUCAUCAAAACAAAAAUUCAAAAGUCCCCAAGCAAAGAAACUGGGGCAGAAGUUGUGGUUGUUGUAAGAAAUCUGAUUCAUGUAAUCUUGAACUCAUUUGAAUUGUUUUGAACCUUUUGGUACCCUUUCUUUCUAACUCUAUCUAAAAGCCCACAUUACAGUCCAAAGAAAGACCUUCCAAUCAGUCUUCGAGACAUGUCAAGUCGAGCAAGUAUAGUUGAUUCAUAUCAUGGGCAACACUCUAGUCCAAACAAGGAAAAUGAAAAAUGAGAGAGUCUUAUUGGUGAAAACCCUCACCGGCACUGUAAGGCGAUGGAAAGCUGAGAGAAAUAAAAAAUGAGAGAGUCUUAUUGGUGAAAACCUUCACAGGCACCUUAAGGUGAAAGUGAGUUGAGAGAUAAACAAAUGAGAGAGGUUUGUUGGUGAAAACCCUUCGGGGCACCGUAGGCCGAACAAGGACAAGGUUUUGGUGAAGAAAUUAGGUUUUGAAGAUCUCGGGGCGUAAAGUACGGCAAUUGAAAGUUAAUUGGUUGGACAGAGUGGGCCGAUUAAUCUGAAAUGCAUGUCAUGAUCAUGGGUACCAGCUGCUCCAUUCAGAUAAAUCUCAUUUUUUUCCCUUCACACAAUCUUCCACUUUUGAAUUUUUCUUAUUCCUAACUCUCAAAGUCAUUGCAUUUCUUUUCUUUUGGGUUUAUUUCUCUAAGAUUUUUCCAAUGUCAGUUUGUCUAAGUAAAUAAGAAAGGGUUUCAAAGCUCACUACCAACUUCCAAAAUUGCACCAAGCAUAGAGAGGCCAAAGUAUUGCCAGAGAUAGUAUGAUGUAAAAUGUGAUAUAAAGGGUCAGCAAAAGAUCCAUCGAUGGAAUGGUUUAGUAAUUUCGUGUGAGGUGUAGAGUUCAGAAUGAUGUGUCAGAGAUUUAACACAAUGGUUUGGGUAUAGAACACUCGAGUCGUCUGAGGUCAUAUGGGUAAAAUUCAGUCAGAAAGUCAAGCGGUUCUUGGACAGUUCGAGGAAGCUAGUAAAAGUAGAGCACAACAGCAGAGAGGCCAGGUCCAUCAAGAAUGCCACAAACUAACCACCACAUUUUAAACUGAUAAGAUUUUCUUUGAUUUGAAAUAGGGGCAGAAAAUUUUGUUCGUUUCAGAGAAACCCUCCAUAAGGAAAAGCCAGCGCUAGACACGUUUGAUUGUAAAUUCUCAGGACCCUCCUGUAUAAUGAGACUCAAUUUAUAAUUUUCAGGAUCCUCCUGGAAAAUGGGACCUAGUUUAAAAUUCAAAAGAACCAUGAGUAGCAAAAUCUAGCAUAAAUGUACCCCAAAGGAAUAUAAGUUGCUUUCAAUGUUUUUAUGCUUGAGAUAUAAUUCAAGUUAGGAGUUUUCAGGACCCUCCUGGAUAAUGGGAUGUAGUUUUAAGAUAUGCUUAGAUAAUAAGAUGUAGCAGAAGUAAUACCUUUAGAAGAUACAUUUUAGAUUUAAAGUUGUCAUUUAACUAGGAGUCUUCAGGACCCUCUUUGAUAAUGGGAUAUCGCUUUCAAAUUCUUAGUGAUAUUUGGUAACAUGAUUUAGUUUAACACUCACAGAUGUGCCAAGCUACCAAACUGGGGCAGAAAAGUUUCUUUGUUUUGUCUAUUUUGUUAAAAUCAGGAGCCCACCUGGAGAACAAAGCAAGUCAAGCGUUGGUAUUCAGGAGCCCACCUGGAGAAUAAAACAAAUCAAAUGUUGGUAAUUAGGAACCCACUUGGAGAACAAACAAAAUCAAGUGUUGGUAAUCAUGAGCCGACCUAGAGAACAAAGCAAAUCAAGUGUUGGUAAUCAGGAGCCUACCUGGAGAACAAAACAAAUCAAGUGUCAGUAAUCAGGAGCCCAGCUAGAGAACAAAGCAAAUCAGGUGUUGGUAAUUAGGAGCCCAUAUGGAGAACAAAGAAAAUCAAGCGUUGGUAAUCAGAAGCCCACCUGGAGAAAAAAGCAAAUCAAGUGUCGGAGUGUUGGUAAUUAGGAGCCCACAUGGAGAACAAAGAAAAUCAAGCAUCGGUAAUCAGAAGCCCACCUGGAGAAAAAAGCAAAUCAAGUGUUGGUAAUCAGGAGCCUACCUGGAGAACAAAACAAAUCAAGUGUCAGUAAUCAGGAGCCCAGCUAGAGAACAAAGCAAAUCAGGUGUUGGUAAUUAGGAGCCCAUAUGGAGAACAAAGAAAAUCAAGCGUUGGUAAUCAGAAGCCCACCUGGAGAAAAAAGCAAAUCAAGUGUCGGUAAUCAGGAGCUCACUUGGAGAACAAAGCAAAUCAAGCAUCGAUAAUCAGGAGCCCACCCAGAGAACAAAGCAAAUGAAGCAUCGAUAAUUAGGAGCCGGCCUGGAGAACAAAACAAAUCAAGCAUCCGUAAUCAGGAGCUCUCCUGGAGAACAAAGCAAAUCAAGUGUCGGUAAUCAGGAGUUUACCUGGAGAACAAAGCAACUCAAGCAUCGGUAAUCACGAGCCACCUGAAGAACAAAGCAAUUCAAGCAUCGGUAAUCAGGAGCCCAUCUGGAGAACAAAGCAAUACAAGUGUCGGUAAUCAGGAGCCCACCUGGAAAAUAGAGCAAUUUAUGUGUCGAUAAUCAGGAGCCCACUUGGAGAAUAAAGCAAUUCAAGUGUUGGUAAUCAGGAACCUACCUGAAGAAUGAAGGGAAAGCAGCAAUGUUCUAAGGAAGACGGUUCAAGUUCAGCAAUCAGGCGCCCACCUGAAGAAAGGGAAAGCAUCUCAGAUUGCAAUUCAAGUUGGCAACAAAGGGACUUCACCUGGAGAAUACAAUUCAACAAGGCAACAAGAACCACAAGAUCAAGUUUGAGGAUAUAGAUAGGAUUUUUGUAAUACAUAGAUCAUAGUUUAGUCUAGCUUCUUUUUAUUUUGACAUGGUGUAAUAAGGAGUUGAGUAAGCAGUAGCAGCAACAAUGAAAUCACAACUUCAUAGUAGUCCCAGCUACCGAAACUUCCCAAACUACAGUGACCUGAUUCCUUUAUAGCCAAGGAUAUGUAGGCAACCUCAGAAGUACGAUGCGGUCAAAUUUUUCAAAACUUCUUCCUACGGAGUAUUCAAACGGGCAAAAAUUGCUCGUAUACGCUCACUUUAUCUUUGCAUGAAAACUCUUCGUGUUUCCGAGCAAAGAGGGGCAGCUGUAAGCACUUGAUUUUUGCUCUAUGUGAAUUACUCCUAUAAAUUCAAGAAAAAUAAACUCUUGCAAUUUUGUAGCAAUUUUGCUGUUUGUUUGCAUUUGUUUGUGCACGUUUAUUCUAUUUAAUUCAUGAAAAAUAUACAAAUGUAUUGCAUUUGCGUGUAGUAUUUAAUUUUAUAUUUAUUAAAUUAAUUAGCAAAUUAGUUGUUUUAUAAGAAAUGGAAAAAUCAUAAAAAUAACUUAUUUUUGCAAUUUUUAAUUUUGAUUUUGAUUUUUGAUAGUUUUCCUUUAAUUUGGUUUUAAUUAAUUGUGGUAAUUAUCACUUAGAGUGAUUAGCUUCAUUUAAGUAUAAUUUAGAGUUAGGAUUUAGAUUAAGUUUUAUUUUAAUUUUGAAAAAAAAGGGUACAAGGAAUUAAAAAGAAGAAGUUGAAAAGAGAAAGGAAAAAUUGGAGAAAUCAGAUUUUUUGGGCCUUUUUUUAAUUUUUUCAAAGCCCACUUGAUUUGUGCACAAUACCCGUUUAAUCCAGCCCAGACCUGUCAAACCCGGCCCAGAUCCACCCUUUAAUCGGUCUAACCCAUAAUAUUCCAAAACAACCUCGUUUUAAUAAGACCAAAUCAGGACCGUUGAUCUCUUUUGAUCUAACGAUCCAGAACUGGGGUUUGUAUAGUAUAAGAAUGUCUGAAUCCCUUCAUCCCCCUCUCCCUCGUCUCAUCUCCCAAACCUCCUCAUCUCUGAAAACCCUAAAGACGACGCCCCUCUCUCUACCACCUUGAGACCGGUGGCGCCACCUCCAAUCAACCCCACAAUCACGCUUCCCGAACACUCUCGGCCUCCUCUUUCCAAUUCUCAAAAUGGCUCACCUCGAAUAUAUCCUGAACGUCUCGAAUUUUGAAUCUAAAGUUCGAACCCUAAUUCCCACAACAUCAAAUUGGCAAGGUUUUUAAGG